UACGUAGGCAGCGAGCGUUGUUCGGAGUUACUGGGCGUAAAGGGUGUGUAGGCGGUUGUUUAAGUUUGGUGUGAAAUCUCCCGGCUCAACUGGGAGGGUGCGCCGAAUACUGAAUGACUUGGAGUGCGGGAGAGGAGAGUGGAAUUCCUGGUGUAGCGGUGAAAUGCGUAGAUAUCCGGAGGAACACCGGUGGCGAAGGCGGCUUCCUGGACCGACACUGACGCUGAGGCGCGAAAGCUAGGGGAGCAAACAGG
This 254-nucleotide ribosomal RNA is filed under the name uncultured bacterium. RNAcentral describes it as "partial 16S ribosomal RNA". It matches the Rfam family "Bacterial small subunit ribosomal RNA", at positions 524 to 776 of the family's 1533-position model. The record is from RNAcentral.